RNAcentral lists this unclassified non-coding RNA (933 nucleotides) under Zea mays. Its description in RNAcentral is "misc RNA Zm00001eb220540". Lineage: Eukaryota; Viridiplantae; Streptophyta; Magnoliopsida; Poales; Poaceae. The record is from RNAcentral.
UUGCGAGGCGGCGUCGCCAGCGCGUCCGAUCGUCGGAGCAGCAUGGCUGGGGCGCCCGCGCUCCUGUUUGUCGAGGUCGCGUGGCGGCGGCGGCAUGGCCUGCUCUCGCUCGCUUGCCUGCGCCCAGCGGCAGCUGCUCGGGCUCGCCCGCGGUGGCGGCACGGAGCCUGCGCGCUUGCCAGCGUCCAGCGGCAGCUGCUCGGGCUCGCCCGCGGCGGCGGCAGCGACGUGGCCUUUAGGUCGACUUGGCCCACAUCUGCAUGCAGAUUACAGAACGGUGUCGCGGCUGGUCGCCGGCGUUCUUCUGGUCCUGGCAUUAGCUCUGCUCUCUUCGAGCGCGGAGGAGAGGAGCGCCGGGCGCGCUGCCACUGUCAGCGCGAUGGGCUCAGAUCACGAUCAGACGUCGGAAGCUCCGGUGCCGCCGUUGAGGCCUCUUGGGUCGAGGAAACCGGUGGCGGCUCCGCCACCGCCGAGGCCGGCACAUCCACGGGCGAGUAUAAGGCCAUUUCCUCCACCUCGUCCGUCACAGCCGCAGCCGCAGCCGCCGCCGCCGCCACCACGCUCAUCUCAAGGGACCUCCUACCUGAGAUUCCACCGACAAAACCCUGGGUCACCUACCUGAGUUUUAGUAUAAAUUCAGGUAACCAGAUCACUCGGAGCAAUCGUUCGCAGCCAUCAAUCACCAUGAGACUGGUCAAGCUCCUUGCUGUCUUCGCCAUCCUGGCUGUUCUGUUCGCCGUGACAUGGCCCGUUGCUGUGCUAGGGAGGCUGGGUAGGGCGCCCCCGACGCCGAAAUCUGGCCCCGUCAAGCACCAUCGUCCACCACGGCUACAGCGCCCGCCGCCGCCGCCACCACCACCACGGCCGCACCAUCGGCAUGAUGGUCUUCGUCGGCCACUGCCAUAUCCGGCACCACCACCGUGUCAACACUGA